UCCGGAGGGUGACCACGUGGGGGUGACCCCCACAGGGGCUGUGGUCUCCAGAGUAUCCCCUUCUUCCCUCAACCUGAAUUCCCACUGCCAGAGGGUAGCCUUAGGUGGGAUAUUUGGAGGGAAUUCCUGGCUGGGAGGGUGGGGAGGGGCUGGGCUGGAAUUCCCAGAUUUGCUGUGGCAGCCCCUGGAUCCCUGGAAGCAUCCAAGGCCAGGCUGGAUGGAUUUGGAUCCACCUGGGAUAGUGGGAGGUGUCCCUGCCCACGGAUGGGGUGGGAAUGGGGUGGGAUUUAUGGUCCUUCCAACCAAAACCAACCAAAAGCAGUUGGGUGAGUGGGUGGAUAAUUUGCCAGGGAGGUGGUUAAGUGGGUGGCUGGGUGGUUGGCUGAAUUGUUCAGUGGUUGGGUGGUUGGUUUGGUGCUCAGGUCAUUGGUUGAGCAGUUGUCUGGUUGAGUGGUUGGGUGGUUGGUUGAUGGGUUGGUUGGUUGGUUGGUUGGUUGGUUGGUUGGUUGGUUGGUUGGUUGAAUGGGUGGGUCACUGGUUGGGUGGCUGCUUGAGCAGUUUGGCCAUUGGUUGGGUGAUUGGUUUGGCAGUUGCGUCACUGGUUGAGCUGUUGGUUGGUCGGUGAGUGCUUGGUUUGGUGUUCAGGACGUUGGUUGGUUCAUUGGUUGACUGGGUCACUGGUGGAGCGGUUGGAUGAUUGAGCAGGUGGUUGGUUGGGUGGUUGUGUGGUUGGUUGUGUGGUUGGUUUGGUGGUCAGGUCUUUGGUGGUGUGGUUGGUUGGGUAGUGAGGUCAUCAGUUGGUUCGGUGAUUGAUUGGAUGGUUGGUUUGGUGGUCAAGUCAUUGGUUGGGUGGUUGGUUGUGUGGUUGGUUGGAUGGUGAGUUGGGUGGUGAGGUCGUUGGUUUGUUGGGUGGUUGGUUGGGUGGAUUAGUUGAGUGGUGAGGUUGUUGGUUGGGUGGUUGGUUGGAUGGUUGUUGGGUGGUCAGGUCAUUGGUUGGGUGGUUGGUUGAGCAGUUGGUUGAGUGGUUGGAUGGUUGGUUUGGCAGUCAGGUCACUGGUUGGUGGUUGGUUGGUUUGGUGGUCAGGUCACUGGUUGGUUGGAUGGUUGGUUUGGUGGUCAGGGCACUGGUUGGGUGGAUGGUUGGUUUGGCGGUCAGGGCACUGGCUGGGUGUAUGGUUGGUUUGGUGGUCAGGGCACUGGCUGAGUGGUUGGUUGAGCGGUUGGUUGGUUGGUUUGGUGGUCAGGUCAUUGGUUGAGUGGUUGGUUGAGCGGUUGGAUGGUUGGUU
Molecule: long non-coding RNA, 1286 nt
Organism: Serinus canaria (Common canary)
Lineage: Eukaryota; Metazoa; Chordata; Aves; Passeriformes; Fringillidae
Exons: 3
Source: RefSeq, a predicted model, not a curated record